GACGAACGCUGGCGGCGUGCUUAACACAUGCAAGUCGAACGGAAAGGCCCUGCUUUUGUGGGGUUCUCGAGUGGCGAACGGGUGAGUAACACGUGAGUAACCUGCCCUUGACUUUGUGAUAACUUCAGGAAACUGGGGCUAAUACCGGAUAGGAUCUCCUGCUGCAUGGGGGGGGUUGGAAAGUUUCGGCGGUUGUGGAUGGACUCGCGGCUUAUCAGCUUGUUUGUGGGGUAGUUGCUUACCAAGGCUUUGACGGGUAGCCUGCCUGAGAGGGUGAACGGGCACAUUGGGACUGCGAUACGGAGCAGAAUCCUACGGGAGGCAGCAGUGGAGAAUAUUGCAGAAUAGGCGGAAGCCUGAUGCAGCAACGCCGCGUGCGUGAUGACGGCCUUCGGGUUGUAAACAGAUUUCGAAUGUGACGAAGAGUGAGUGACGGUAAUGGGUAAAGAAGCCCCGGCUAACUACGUG
Molecule: ribosomal RNA, 468 nt
Filed under: uncultured bacterium
Lineage: Bacteria
Description: partial 16S ribosomal RNA
Rfam family: Bacterial small subunit ribosomal RNA
Source: RNAcentral